RNAcentral lists this non-coding RNA (29 nucleotides) under Mus musculus (house mouse). The record is from RNAcentral. Lineage: Eukaryota; Metazoa; Chordata; Mammalia; Rodentia; Muridae.
UAAACACAUGGAAACUUGAAUGGGCCUCA